GUGAAGUUAUCCAGAUAGACGAGCUCCCAUUGUUGCCUAAGCUGAAGGCAAUACAUCGGCAGACAUGUAAGGUGAGAUGCAGCCUUGUACCUGCAACAAACAAGUUGGAAUUUCGACAAAGCCCUGCAACAGAAGAUCCACCUUCUGCAGACUGCUUUUUGGGACAGGGGUAAGUACAUAGAGUACGUGCUUGAGAGUGUCAAUGGCACGCACGAUUCCCAAGCCCAUGCAGUCAGGAAAAUUUUCAGAAUCAACUGCCAAGCCAACAAUAGUUGCAUUCAAGCUGUACAAAACCUCAUUCUUAGGAACCUCACAAUGAAGGUGUUUAAUUUUGAUACUUGAUAUAGG
RNAcentral lists this unclassified non-coding RNA (348 nucleotides) under Hevea brasiliensis (rubber tree). Lineage: Eukaryota; Viridiplantae; Streptophyta; Magnoliopsida; Malpighiales; Euphorbiaceae. The record is from RNAcentral.